RNAcentral lists this ribosomal RNA (435 nucleotides) under uncultured bacterium. RNAcentral's name for it is "partial 16S ribosomal RNA". It matches the Rfam family "Bacterial small subunit ribosomal RNA", at positions 28 to 507 of the family's 1533-position model. The record is from RNAcentral.
GAUGAACGCUGGCGGUAUGCUUAACACAUGCAAGUCGAACGGACUCUUCGGAGUUAGUGGCGGACGGGUGAGUAACGCGUGAGAAUCUGGCUUUGGGUUCGGGACAACCACUGGAAACGGUGGCUAAUACCGGAUGCGCCGAGAGGUAAAAGAGAAAUUGCCUGAAGAUGAGCUCGCGUCUGAUUAGCUAGUUGGUGAGGUAAAGGCUCACCAAGGCAGCGAUCAGUAGCUGGUCUGAGAGGAUGACCAGCCACACUGGGACUGAGACACGGCCCAGACUCCUACGGGAGGCAGCAGUGGGGAAUUUUCCGCAAUGGGCGAAAGCCUGACGGAGCAGUACCGCGUGAGGGAAGAAGGCUCUUGGGUUGUAAACCUCUUUUCUUAGGGAAGAACAAAAUGACGGUACCUAAGGAAUCAGCAUCGGCUAACUCCGUG